RNAcentral lists this ribosomal RNA (399 nucleotides) under Triticum aestivum (bread wheat). RNAcentral's name for it is "partial small subunit ribosomal RNA". The record is from RNAcentral. Lineage: Eukaryota; Viridiplantae; Streptophyta; Magnoliopsida; Poales; Poaceae.
AUGGCCCGGUCGACGUUUACCUCGGCUAGGCUCCUCGCGGAGCGGCGACAUCCUUCGGCCCGGCUGCUCCCAGCGCUGCACCCCGAGGCGGCCGUGGACCACGGCCCCGGCGUGGCGGAGGAUGCACUCCGGGCCUGCAUCUUUUUCGAUGAGGCGGCCAGGCGCGUAACGAACAACGGCGGCAGCGGCCAACGGCCGGUGCCCGGCAUGGCAACGCCCGGCAGCAAACACGGUGUCUCGCGGCUCCGCGGCGGCGGCCAUCGGCCGGCGUGCGGCAGCGCGGUCCUCAGCCCGGGCAGAGGCAGCCCACGAGGCACAAAACGCGGCGGCGCAACCAUCGGUCUGCCCGCACUGCACAGCGGCAGCAGUUACCAUGGCCAUGACGCUCGCAUGGGAUAA